This 32-nucleotide small RNA is filed under the name Bombyx mori (domestic silkworm). RNAcentral's name for it is "piRNA piR-bmo-1930452". Lineage: Eukaryota; Metazoa; Arthropoda; Insecta; Lepidoptera; Bombycidae. The record is from RNAcentral.
CCACUCAAGAACUUUCUGGCCCCAACGGCCAU